Corvus hawaiiensis (hawaiian crow) is the source of this 3553-nucleotide long non-coding RNA. RefSeq lists it as uncharacterized. The record is from RefSeq and is a predicted model, not a curated record. The transcript has 3 exons. NCBI's taxonomy places the organism in Eukaryota, Metazoa, Chordata, Aves, Passeriformes, Corvidae.
AUCCUUGCAUCUCUGACAGUUUUUCCCAAUUUAAAUGAAACAAAUAUCUCUGUUAUGACAUAUGAGAAUGUUAUUUUUCAAGGAUUGAGGUUUACCAACACUAAAAGCAUCAAAGAAUGCUCAUUUCAGAACACAGUCACAUAUUCCAUACAUUAGCAAUUACACAUUCACAAGGUAGACUUGAUCUACAUUUUCAUCCACGAGUAGGUUCUGUUAUAUUAAUAUAGUUUUUUAAUUUUUGUAUUAUGGUUGUGUGCCAUAAUACAAAUUAUGUAUUAUGGUUGUGUGCCAGGCCCUGGUUUAAUUGACUUAUUAUUUCUAUUAAAUUAUAUCAUACAGUAGCAGCAAUGAUACCAUUCUUGUACUGCACAUAUGAAUAUCUCAGGGCUGCAGAAAACACGUGAACAUCCUGUGUCUCCUGUAGAUCUGUGUAGAUUGAGUCCCAACUGAGCCUGUCAUUAAUCUGUUCAGUGGUGGGUGUGUGUUUGUGAAAGGAAAAGUGCUCAUCUGCAAACUGUGUACCCAGUGGGUAUGUGUAUGCCCAUUCUGCCCAAUUCUGGACACUUGUGGUUAUUCUUCCCCUAAUAUUCUGGGAACCCUUGAGAAAGACAUGCAUCUAUUCAUAUGAUAAAGUAAAGCCCUAACUACUGUUUAGCUGAAGACAAAAAACAACCCUAGAAUCCAUAUAAUCAUAUCUAAAACAAGCCAUGAAUAAUAGGAUGUGAAAACAAAAAGUGGCCUCAUUUCCUGGCGUCAUUUAGAGUGAUACCAGCCACAGGCUGCCCUUGAAGAUCACCAGGGUUCAGGGAUUGUCUGUGAAGGGAGGGACUGUUAUCACUGUUCUGCUGGUUUCAGAUUUCAGCCAUCAUACACUUUGUCUACUUCUAUGUGGUAUGAAAACACAGUGACAGUAAUUUGUGCUUGGUGCUCACCAGACACACUGUAAUGUAGGGGGAUAGGUUAGGGUCUGCAGGAAUCUAGUUUAGGUACCGAUGAGCUCUACCAACAGGCCAAGUUACCGGGUAGGUUGGUUCACGUUCAGCAGCAUUUUCCCAGGUAAGGCAUGAAUGAGCAGUGAAAAGUUGUUGCUUUAGCUGCCCAUUACUCGGGACAAUAGAUAGUCUGCAAUCCAGCUGCACCACUUGGCACUUCGGUUCAAAGGUCCUUGGUUUCAUAUUAGUUGAAUAGAAAAGGUCAAUAAGAGGUGAGAGACAAUUGAAUGUGGAUAAAUAAUACAGGAAUGAGAGCUGCAAGUGUUUGACUCAUCUCUGCUGAUGUGAUAUUGAUCUGAACUAGAAAUGUCAAACCCUUCUCCGCCCAGAGGUUUAGAAAUGCUUCUGAUGUGUGUCAGUAAGAGAUAAGAAUCAGACCAAGAAUAUAUUAGCAGAUGCCAGAGGGAAUAAAGCAUAAACAACCCAAGAACAAUAGUUCCUGUGUGUCAGCUACAAAUAAAGUGUUCUUAUUUGGCAGAGCACGUUCUGCUUAUGCCUGAUCCUUCAGGGCAGUCUGGGCGUGCCAAAGACAUGGGAGGAGAGGUCAGGUACAAGGAGACUGCAUAAGGGUGAGGUGGCAGGUUCGUGGGACUGCACCUGUGCCCUCACGUGCAGAGGUGGAGGAAAGGAUUGAAGUCAAUGGACUUGCUCUACACUGAAUUUCCACCCCAUUUAUUUUAUGACUGGCCUUCAUAUUUUACCCUGAGAGCACCCAACUGCAUUUAUAAAGGAUUUUAGGCAUCAUGCUCCAACUUCCAAUUAAAGACUGGGUCUUCAAAGCCUCUGCUAUGCCAUGAUUUAACCCUCUAGAGGCAUCUCCCCAACACACUAGUUUUCCUUCCUGUAAAUUACUUUACAUUUUUCCCAUUAGACACAUGUGCAGCUUGACUUUACACUUGACAAGAAUUGUCCCUUCUGUAUAAUGCUUAUUCUUUGAUCUCAGAUGAAUAAAAUCAGCUUCAUUCGCCUAAUACAUAAAGCCUUGCACAAAAUGCAGUCAGAUCACAAAAGGACAGAGAAAGGAAAUCCUGUAGCCUGAAGGUUAAGGCAUUUUUCAUGACAAAGCAGAGUUACUUCUGCUGCAGUGAUUAUUUCUGUAUUUUAUAUCCUCUGAAAAAAAAAAUUGUCAGGAGAGACGGAUGCAGAAACCCAGCUAAGAUUGACUGAUCUUCUCCUCAAGCACAGGGUUUUGCUUCACAUCCCUGCUCCACCGUCUGACAGAAGAAGGAUUUGAACAUACAUCUCUGACAUUCAAGAAGGGUGUCAGUAUGUCGCCAUCUUCAAACAAGCUGGAAACAUGGGACAUUUGUCACAGAUUUUUCCUUUGAAGUCAAUACUAAAUUGAGGCCUGUCUGCAAUGUUCAAUCUGUAUUCCAAAGGAAAGAGCUCUUACAGAACUAUCUAGAGAAACAGGUCUUUUGCUGAAAUGUUCUCUGUUCGUCUCUUGCUGCAUCAGGACCAAGGUGGCAAUGUUUGCUGCUAUAAAACCAGUGAGAAUCAUCCACUUAUUUAAAUGUACUAGUUUCAGUCUUACCCGUGCUUUAUACCAGUGUACAAAAAAGGGGAUUUGUAUUCUUCAGCAUUUCAAUAUUAAUGAAAAAAAGUAAAAAAUUACUUACUUCAGUAAUUCCCAAAGAGUUUCCAUGUCAGUGUGAGAAAACUUAGGGGACUGAAUGUAGUUAAUCUUAGCUAAAAUCUCAACACUAUGUUUUAAUAAAGAUUCCCAAGUAAUUGUGACUUCAAGUCACUGCUCACGAUGGAUAACAUUUCCAGAGAAACAGGAAUGGUGCUGCAUCGGUGUUUUUGAUUUAGCCAGACUCCUUUGAUGGGAGAGAAGCAAGGGAGAGAGAAGAUGAAAUAAACCUUUAGACUCUGAAUCCUCUUGCCACACUGGUCAUAUGAGUCACUACAGAGAGAAUUUAUCCUGUCCUUCUGACAGUGUAAAGAUUUUACUAGUUUUAUUGUAAUUGUUCGUGCAACAUACACAAGUUUCUUUCUCUUUUUUUUUUUUCCUUUUUGUUUUUUAAUGUGAAGGGACUAUGCCAUAAGCACAAGAAAAGUCUGUAACAGCCACGAGAUUUUCCUUUUCUCUCAGAAAAAUACAUUAAACAGGAUUAGGGAAUCUUAAAAUAAUUUAAAAGGCUUCUUUCUAACUCAAGAAAAUGUUAUAUGAAACAUGCUUCCUUGAAAAGUAGGCUUUAUGUAGACCUUUAACUUUAGACUUUAAAUUUAGACCUGUAUAGUCACACAUAUUAAUACAAGAAUCUAUGCAAUGACAGUUCAGAGGUGUGCUUGAAUGCAUUCAUUGCUGAUAUGCUGGAUUUAUGGCAACUGGACCAGAGGUCUGUGAAAAUUUGCUUGUCAUUCCCAACAGGAUUGAAAUGCUUCUGCUGUUCAGUAGUCUUGUAUGCUUGUCACCAUUAAUGUUCCCUCUAAUUUAUUUCUCUGUGUGUGACAAAUGACCUCCUGAAUACCAAUGUGAAACUUGUAGCCCUAAUUCACAUGAUGCUGGAAAUGGAACAGCAAAAUAAAUGAGUUUGCAAUCCUCUUUCUUCAUUUGA